ACAUACCGAUGACAGGUCUAGAGAUAGAUUUUCCCUUUUAGGGCAUCGGAUACAGGUGGUGCAUGGUUGUCGUCAGCUCGUGUCGUGAGAUGUUGGGUUAAGUCCCGCAACGAGCGCAACCCCUAUUGUUAGUUGCCAUCAUUAAGUUGGGCACUCUAGCGAGACUGCCAGUAAUAAACUGGAGGAAGGUGGGGAUGACGUCAAAUCAUCAUGCCCCUUAUGACCUGGGCUACACACGUGCUACAAUGGGAAGUACAACGAGUUGCGAGGCGGUGACGCCAAGCUAAUCUCUUAAAGCUUCUCUCAGUUCGGAUUGUAGGCUGCAACUCGCCUACAUGAAGUCGGAAUCGCUAGUAAUCGCGGAUCAGCACGCCGCGGUGAAUACGUUCCCGGGCCUUGUACACACCGCCCGUCACACCACGAGAGUUUGUAACACCCGAAGUCGGUGAGGUAACCGUAAGGAGCCAACCGCCUAAGGUGGGAUAGAUGAUUGGGGCGAAGUCGUAACAAGGUAAGCGUAGAUGA
This 525-nucleotide ribosomal RNA is filed under the name uncultured bacterium. RNAcentral describes it as "bacterial SSU rRNA". It matches the Rfam family "Bacterial small subunit ribosomal RNA", at positions 984 to 1509 of the family's 1533-position model. The record is from RNAcentral.